RNAcentral lists this transfer RNA (82 nucleotides) under Nephila pilipes (giant wood spider). It matches the Rfam family "tRNA". From Rfam's summary of the family: Transfer RNA (tRNA) molecules are approximately 80 nucleotides in length. Their secondary structure includes four short double-helical elements and three loops (D, anti-codon, and T loops). Further hydrogen bonds mediate the characteristic L-shaped molecular structure. tRNAs have two regions of fundamental functional importance: the anti-codon, which is responsible for specific mRNA codon recognition, and the 3' end, to which the tRNAs corresponding amino acid is attached (by aminoacyl-tRNA synthetases). tRNAs cope with the degeneracy of the genetic code in two manners: having more than one tRNA (with a specific anti-codon) for a particular amino acid; and 'wobble' base-pairing, i.e. permitting non-standard base-pairing at the 3rd anti-codon position. The record is from Rfam by way of RNAcentral. Lineage: Eukaryota; Metazoa; Arthropoda; Arachnida; Araneae; Nephilidae.
GCAGUCGUGGCUGAGUGGUUAAGGCGAUGGACUUGAAAUCCAUUGGGAUAUUCCCUCGUAGGUUCGAAUCCUACCGACUGCG